RNAcentral lists this ribosomal RNA (1431 nucleotides) under uncultured organism. Its description in RNAcentral is "16S ribosomal RNA". It matches the Rfam family "Bacterial small subunit ribosomal RNA". The record is from RNAcentral.
CGCUAGCUACAGGCUUAACACAUGCAAGUCGAGGGGCAGCAUGGUCUUAGCUUGCUAAGGCCGAUGGCGACCGGCGCACGGGUGAGUAACACGUAUCCAACCUGCCGUCUACUCUUGGACAGCCUUCUGAAAGGAAGAUUAAUACAAGAUGGCAUCAUGAGUCCGCAUGUUCACAUGAUUAAAGGUAUUCCGGUAGACGAUGGGGAUGCGUUCCAUUAGAUAGUAGGCGGGGUAACGGCCCACCUAGUCUUCGAUGGAUAGGGGUUCUGAGAGGAAGGUCCCCCACAUUGGAACUGAGACACGGUCCAAACUCCUACGGGAGGCAGCAGUGAGGAAUAUUGGUCAAUGGGCGAGAGCCUGAACCAGCCAAGUAGCGUGAAGGAUGACUGCCCUAUGGGUUGUAAACUUCUUUUAUAAAGGAAUAAAGUCGGGUAUGGAUACCCGUUUGCAUGUACUUUAUGAAUAAGGAUCGGCUAACUCCGUGCCAGCAGCCGCGGUAAUACGGAGGAUCCGAGCGUUAUCCGGAUUUAUUGGGUUUAAAGGGAGCGUAGAUGGAUGUUUAAGUCAGUUGUGAAAGUUUGCGGCUCAACCGUAAAAUUGCAGUUGAUACUGGAUAUCUUGAGUGCAGUUGAGGCAGGCGGAAUUCGUGGUGUAGCGGUGAAAUGCUUAGAUAUCACGAAGAACUCCGAUUGCGAAGGCAGCCUGCUAAGCUGCAACUGACAUUGAGGCUCGAAAGUGUGGGUAUCAAACAGGAUUAGAUACCCUGGUAGUCCACACGGUAAACGAUGAAUACUCGCUGUUUGCGAUAUACGGCAAGCGGCCAAGCGAAAGCGUUAAGUAUUCCACCUGGGGAGUACGCCGGCAACGGUGAAACUCAAAGGAAUUGACGGGGGCCCGCACAAGCGGAGGAACAUGUGGUUUAAUUCGAUGAUACGCGAGGAACCUUACCCGGGCUUAAAUUGCAGAUGAAUUACGGUGAAAGCCGUAAGCCGCAAGGCAUCUGUGAAGGUGCUGCAUGGUUGUCGUCAGCUCGUGCCGUGAGGUGUCGGCUUAAGUGCCAUAACGAGCGCAACCCUUGUUGUCAGUUACUAACAGGUUCUGCUGAGGACUCUGACAAGACUGCCAUCGUAAGAUGUGAGGAAGGUGGGGAUGACGUCAAAUCAGCACGGCCCUUACGUCCGGGGCUACACACGUGUUACAAUGGGGGGUACAGAGGGCCGCUACCACGCGAGUGGAUGCCAAUCCCAAAAACCUCUCUCAGUUCGGACUGGAGUCUGCAACCCGACUCCACGAAGCUGGAUUCGCUAGUAAUCGCGCAUCAGCCACGGCGCGGUGAAUACGUUCCCGGGCCUUGUACACACCGCCCGUCAAGCCAUGGGAGCCGGGGGUACCUAAAGUGCGUAACCGCGAGGAGCGCCCUAGGGUAAAACU